RNAcentral lists this ribosomal RNA (253 nucleotides) under uncultured prokaryote. RNAcentral's name for it is "partial 16S ribosomal RNA". It matches the Rfam family "Bacterial small subunit ribosomal RNA", at positions 525 to 777 of the family's 1533-position model. The record is from RNAcentral.
ACGUAGGGACCAAGCGUUGUUCGGAUUUACUGGGCGUAAAGGGCGCGUAGGCGGCUUAACAAGUCACUUGUGAAAUCUCCGGGCUUAACUUGGAACGGUCAGCUGAUACUGCUUUGCUAGAGUGCAGAAGGGGCAAUCGGAAUUCUUGGUGUAGCGGUGAAAUGCGUAGAUAUCAAGAGGAACACCUGAGGUGAAGACGGGUUGCUGGGCUGACACUGACGCUGAGGCGCGAAAGCUAGGGUAGCAAACGGGA